GAACCAGAAGGUCUACGCUGUGUGUGACUCAAAGAUCAUCAAGCCAGCCUUUGAGGGCCAAGGCAGCUCCAUGCCUGUCAUCGAAGCCAAUUGCACCGGCAUUGUUUCAACUGAUCAGAUGGACGGAGCUGGAGGUUCAGCUUGGAGUCCUG
Oncorhynchus keta (chum salmon) is the source of this 152-nucleotide long non-coding RNA. RefSeq lists it as uncharacterized. The record is from RefSeq and is a predicted model, not a curated record. NCBI's taxonomy places the organism in Eukaryota, Metazoa, Chordata, Actinopteri, Salmoniformes, Salmonidae. The transcript has 3 exons.